UUAAUGGAGAGUUUGAUCCUGGCUCAGGACAAACGCUGGCGGCGUGCUNNNNNNNNNNNNNNNNNNNNNNNNNNNNNNNNNNNNNNNNNNNNNNNNNNNNNNNNNNUGAGUAACNNNUAGGCAACCUGCCUCCAAGAUGGGGACAACAUCUCGAAAGGGGUGCUAAUACCGAAUGUUGUAAAGCGAUUGCAUAAUGGCUUUACCAAAGGCGGCUUUUAGCUGUCGCUUGGAGAUGGGCCUACGUCUGAUUAGCUAGUUGGUGACGGUAACGGCGCACCAAGGCAACGAUCAGUAGCCGGUCUGAGAGGAUGGACGGCCACAUUGGGACUGAGACACGGCCCAAACUCCUACGGGAGGCAGCAGUGGGGAAUCUUCCGCAAUGGGCGAAAGCCUGACGGAGCAACGCCGCGUGAACGAGGAAGGUCUUCGGAUCGUAAAGUUCUGUUGCAGGGGACGAAUGGCAGUAGUGUUAAUACCACUAUUGAAUGACGGUACCCUGUUAGAAAGCCACGGCUAACUACGUGCCAGCAGCCGCGGUAAUACGUAGGCGGCAAGCGUUGUCCGGAAUUAUUGGGCGUAAAGGGAGCGCAGGCGGAUGACUAAGCGGAUCUUAAAAGUGCGGGGCUCAACCCCGUGAUGGGAUUCGAACUGGUCAUCUUGAGUGCAGGAGAGGAAAGCGGAAUUCCCAGUGUAGCGGUGAAAUGCGUAGAUAUUGGGAAGAACACCAGUGGCGAAGGCGGCUUUCUGGACUGUAACUGACGCUGAGGCUCGAAAGCCAGGGUAGCGAACGGGAUUAGAUACCCCGGUAGUCCUNGCCGUAAACGAUGGAUACUAGGUGUAGGGGGUAUUGACCCUNCCUGUGCCGGAGUUAACGCAAUAAGUAUCCCGCCUGGGGAGUACGGCCGCAAGGCUGAAACUCAAAGGAAUUGACGGGGGCCCGCACAAGCGGUGGAGUAUGUGGUUUAAUUCGNNGCAACGCGAAGAACCUUACCAGGGCUUGACAUUGAUUGACGUAUGCAGAGAUGCAUAUUUUCUCUUCGGAGGACAAGAAAACAGGUGGUGCAUGGCUGUCGUCAGCUCGUGUCGUGAGAUGUUGGGUUAAGUCCCGCAACGAGCGCAACCCCUAUCAUUUGUUGCCAGCACGUCAAGGUGGGAACUCAAAUGAGACUGCCGCGGAUAACGCGGAGGAAGGCGGGGAUGACGUCAAGUCAUCAUGCCCCUUACGUCCUGGGCUACACACGUACUACAAUGGGAUACACAGAGGGAAGCGAAGGAGUGAUCUGGAGCGGAACCCAAAAAAUAUCCCCCAGUUCGGAUUGCAGGCUGCAACUCGCCUGCAUGAAGUCGGAAUCGCUAGUAAUCGCAGGUCAGCAUACUGCGGUGAAUACGUUCCCGGGCCUUGUACACACCGCCCGUCACACCACGAAAGUCAUCCACACCCGAAGCCGGCUAAGGGCCGCAAGGAACCGACCGUCUAAGGUNGGGGCGAUGACCGGGG
Molecule: ribosomal RNA, 1498 nt
Filed under: Pectinatus cerevisiiphilus
Lineage: Bacteria; Bacillati; Bacillota; Negativicutes; Selenomonadales; Selenomonadaceae
Description: 16S ribosomal RNA
Rfam family: Bacterial small subunit ribosomal RNA
Source: RNAcentral